UGGCAGCUGAGAUUUUCUGCUCCCUAACUUUUGGGGAGCGGGAAGACCCGGUUGGACCCAUUCCUCUUUGGUGAGUCUGGCCGCGUGUGCGCAAGCGCAAAAAGAGAGGCCAGGCAGGGGUGGUGUCCUGGGUUGUAAAAGUGUGUGGUCUGCGGAGGGGGCAGUCCGCUAGUCGAGGCGCGGGAAUCUCCACGCCCCUCCCCCCAGGCCUUGGGGAAUAUAGAUCCAUUAGUGAGUCAACCAGUAGACACUUUUUAGGAACCUGCUGUGUGCCAGGCUCUGGUCAGAGGCGGCUUCCAGUCUAAAGAAAAAAAGCAGGCAGGGCUAGGAGGGGAAAUGGAGGUGGGACAAUUUGUGUGCAGCCCUUCCCCCACCGGGGCUCAGCCCAGAGACCAGGAAAGGAGAACACCAUUUCCCAGAACGCCUGGCUUCUGACAUCGCCACGUCUCGGCACCGCCCCCUCCGACACCCAGGAAGCAUGCCGGAAAUCUCACGUGGUUAGUCUCGGCUCCCAGAAGGUGCACCAAUGGGGUUCCGCGACCAUUUCCGGGUGAGAGGAGACGAGGAAGGAGCCCGGAACCCCAGUGGGUCAAUAGCACUCAAGGAUGUGACUGUGGACUUCACCCAGGAGGAGUGGGGCCUGUUGGACCAUUCUCAGAAAGAGCUGUGCCUGGAGGUCAUGCUGGAGAAUGUGCAGAAUCUACUCUCUGUGGGUAAGGACCAUUUCCUCUGUUAACCCUGAAUCUUUCAUUAAGAGAAUGUCUUCAUUCCAAGCCAAAUGUAUAGCAUUUUGAGCCUUUGUCAAUGAUUAAAAAAGAAAAAAUACUGAUCUUUUUCCUGGGUUCUACUUUUCAUUUUAAAAAAUUCAAAUUAGAGCAACUGGGUGGCUCAGUGUAUUGAGAGCCAGGCCCAGAGAUGGGAGGUCCUGGGUUCAAAUCUGGCCUCAGACACUUCCAAGCUGUGUGACUCUGGGCAAGUCACUUAACCCGUAUUGCCUAGCCUUUAUCACUCUUCUGCCUUGGAGCCAAUAUACAGUAUUGACUCCAAGACGGAAGGUAAGGGUUUAAAAAAAAUUCUAAUAAGAAUCCAAGUUAUUCCCUUAUUGACAAAUAGCAAAAGGUUAUGAAUAAGCAGCAGGUUCCAGAAGAAAUCAAAGCUCUCACUAAUGAUAUGGAAAAAUGUUCUGAAUCCAUCUUGAUUAGAGAAGUAAAUUAAAAGAACUCAGAGUUUCUGCCUCCUACGAGAUUGGCCAAUAUAACAGUAAAGGAAAAUGAGAAAAGUUGGUACGAACAUGGCAAAAUUGGGACUCAUAAUGCAUUGAUUGUAGAGUUGUGAACUGAUUUAUCCAUUCUGGAGAGUUAUUUGGAAUGAUU
RNAcentral lists this long non-coding RNA (1373 nucleotides) under Monodelphis domestica (gray short-tailed opossum). RNAcentral describes it as "lncRNA (ENSMODG00000039599.1)". Lineage: Eukaryota; Metazoa; Chordata; Mammalia; Didelphimorphia; Didelphidae. The record is from RNAcentral.